GCUUGCUGAAAGCAUCCUAAUUCUAAGUAAGCUGCUGCCCGGUUGCAAUAGUAAGUUGCAUUUGUUCCAGUCAAAUUAAUAGCUUCAGUGUAGUAAUUAGCAGCCUUAUUCCACUGCUUUCCCUUAAAUGCAGCAUUCCCCUUUUCUUUCAGAAGUUCAGAGGCAUCCAUAUUUCCAUUGGUAUAUGGAAGUGGUGCAGAAUUAGAAACAAUGUCAACUUGCUCUUGAAGAGAUGUGUACAUGUCCAAAACAGUAUCAAGAAGAAACUUAUCAGCUCCAUGGUACGAGAUAAAUGAAACAGAGAUGGGGCAACCAUCAUGCUUUCCCAAGGGAACGGUAACCUGACAACAAGCAGACAUGCUUGCGAUGCUUGAUGGUAUCAAUGCUCUAUCAUGAGCCUCUGCAGGAUACCCUUUCUUUGCAUUAAGCCUAAAGGGAGGAUCUGCAACUGUGGGAAUAACCAACAUUCCAUCGUCCUUUAAGAGACUUUGAACACAAGCUUGCGUCUCAGUCCGGAUUUUGUAUAACGUCUUUACGUUCUCCUGUUUAGUAUUAAUAGCUGCAACAACAUGAUUAGAGACAUCAGGUGCUAACUUGGGUUUCACUGAUUUAACCCAUUCUUCAUGGUUUGUUUUGAAUUCACAUCUUUGUAAUGAAACCAUCACAGAAGAGAGAGCUUUCAGAGUAGAUGUUCCAUUUUCCAGGUUUGUAGAUUCUCCACGGAACCCUUUAAGACUCGGUACAUUGGAAGCAAUAUACUGAUCCAAGUUAAUAUGCUUUGGAGGCUGGUACCCAGACAGAUUU
RNAcentral lists this unclassified non-coding RNA (804 nucleotides) under Hevea brasiliensis (rubber tree). Lineage: Eukaryota; Viridiplantae; Streptophyta; Magnoliopsida; Malpighiales; Euphorbiaceae. The record is from RNAcentral.